AUAAAACAGGUUGUUUCGCAUGAAUUAUGCUAUUCCAUUGGUCCAUUAUUCUAAAAACUGAAUGCUCGCGAUGCAGGGUUUGUUGGAUGGAUAAAUACUUUAUCGAAAUAUUACUACUUUAAUCAUAACUAUACUUUUAAAAAGUUUUCUUUUCAUCUGGCAAAUUAUAAUUAGGAAGAAACCUUAAUUAAUUGAGUUUAACAGCAAUAAAAAUGUAUAAUAAAAGUUUAA
Molecule: long non-coding RNA, 231 nt
Organism: Chrysoperla carnea
Lineage: Eukaryota; Metazoa; Arthropoda; Insecta; Neuroptera; Chrysopidae
Exons: 2
Source: RefSeq, a predicted model, not a curated record